This 84-nucleotide transfer RNA is filed under the name Candidatus Desulfovibrio kirbyi. RNAcentral describes it as "tRNA-Arg". The stretch from base 1 to 74 matches the Rfam family "tRNA". Rfam says of the family: Transfer RNA (tRNA) molecules are approximately 80 nucleotides in length. Their secondary structure includes four short double-helical elements and three loops (D, anti-codon, and T loops). Lineage: Bacteria; Pseudomonadati; Thermodesulfobacteriota; Desulfovibrionia; Desulfovibrionales; Desulfovibrionaceae. The record is from RNAcentral.
GCGCCCGUAGCUCAGUUGGAUAGAGUGUUGGCCUCCGAAGCCAGAAGUCGUGAGUUCGAAUCUCGCCGGGCGCGCCAAAUAUAU